UGCAAGUCGAGCGGUAGCACAGGGAGCUUGCUCCUGGGUGACAAGCGGCGGACGGGUGAGUAAUGUCUGGGAAACUGCCUGAUGGAGGGGGAUAACUACUGGAAACGGUAGCUAAUACCGCAUAAUGUCUACGGACCAAAGUGGGGGACCUUCGGGCCUCAUGCCAUCACAUGUGCCCACAUGGGAUUAUCUAUUAGGUGGGGUAAUGGGUCACCUAUGCGACAAUCCCUAUCUGGUCUGAGAGGAUGACCACCCACACUGGAACUGAGACACGGUCCACACUCCUACGGGAGGCAGCAGUGGGGAAUAUUGCGCAAUGGGCGCAAGCCUGAUGCACCCAUGCCGCGUGUGUGAAAAAAGCCUUCGGGUUGUAAAGCACUUUCUCCGAGGAGGAAGGGUUCUGUGUUAAUAUCACUGUGCAUUGACGUUACUCGCAGAAAAAACACCGGCUAACUCCGUGCCACCAGCCGCGGUAAUACGGAGGGUGCAAGCGUUAAUCGGAAUUACUGGGCGUAAAGCGCACGCAGGCGGUUUGUUAAGUCACAUGUGAAAUCCCCGCGCUUAACGUGGGAACUGCGUUUGAGACUGUGAAGCUAUAGUCUUGUAUAGGGGGGUAUAAUUCCACGUGUAUCGGUGAAAUGCGUAUAGAUCUGUAGGAGUACCGGUGGCGAAAGCGGCCCCCUGUACAAAGACUGACGCUCACGUGCGAAAGCGUGUGGAGCACACACGAUUAUAUACCCUGUGAGUUCCACGCUGUAAACGAUGUC
RNAcentral lists this ribosomal RNA (767 nucleotides) under Serratia marcescens. RNAcentral describes it as "bacterial SSU rRNA". It matches the Rfam family "Bacterial small subunit ribosomal RNA", at positions 56 to 813 of the family's 1533-position model. Lineage: Bacteria; Pseudomonadati; Pseudomonadota; Gammaproteobacteria; Enterobacterales; Yersiniaceae. The record is from RNAcentral.